CGGCGAUGAGGAGACCCUACUGUGUUGAAUUGCAGUGAUGUUUCCUAUACGCUAUUCUGAGCCGAUG
Small nucleolar RNA from Onychomys torridus (southern grasshopper mouse), 67 nucleotides. RefSeq annotates it as small nucleolar RNA U54. The record is from RefSeq and is a predicted model, not a curated record. The transcript has a single exon. Lineage: Eukaryota; Metazoa; Chordata; Mammalia; Rodentia; Cricetidae.